AAACCCAGGAGGAAUCUGAAGUUGGCGCCCUAGUAUUAAUCUCACGUGAAUUUAUCUCCUGACCAGGUUAAAUAGUUGGCAAGUAGAAAGGAAACGAGAGCAUAUUUCAUAAAUACUGGGGCUUUAAUUUGCUUAUAUUUGAACCCAUUUGUGUGUAUGAACCUUGAAAAUAGCUUGUGAUUCAACAUCAAACGUUUUUGUGCAAUUGUCCUGCCAAGUAAAACUUGUUUGCUCUCCAUUGAUGUUCCAAUACCAACAAUUGAUACAAUCUGGCUAAACCUUAAAUUUCCAUUUGCUAUGCUCUUUGAAUGUUUUCAAUACUAAAAAAAAAAGACAGAAAAUAAGAUGGAUCUAUGAACAUGUUGGAGAGCAAAAAAAAAAAGGGGGUUACAUGCACUUAUUUGUGUAUUCAGUGAAUACCAAAAGGUUCUGACUCUGGCUGGGGUGCCAGAGUUGGUUUUAAACAAACUCCAAACAGCUUUUUCAAUAGCAUCUCCCCUCAUCAAGAACUCAGGUGGACGAGCUGUAGUAAACGCUGAAAGGGUCAACACGAUGGCACUUUCAGCAAAGUCUUUCAGCACCACCUAAUGAACUGCAAGGGGUUUUCCUGGCAACACCUGCAGGACUGUGGGAAUUCCUCAGUCACAGGCUCAGCAAAACUAGAAUCUGGGGCAGGAGAGGAGCAAAAUUCAUGGCUUGAAAAUGAUACCUCUGCCUGCAGCUGCCAACUGAAAGCUCAUCAAGGAGUGUAUUUCAGGCUGAAUUCAGAUCCCCUGCUUUUUGGUGAGGCCUUCAACAACCCUACACAGCCAUUCCCCCUCCAAACUUCUGGAGGGUGAGCUUUGGGUGGUGACAACUUGCCUUCAUUAUCCUCCUUCCUGCACCUGAGGAGCUGCCCACACAGGAGGGCCAUAAUCCCUGGCACUGUCACCAGGCAGUUUGAGAGCACCGAUAACAGCGAUGACAGCACUGGUAGUCCUUGUGCUGACAGUAUGCAUCCAAAGCCUUGCUGACAAAUUAGGAGCAAAAUCAGAUGUCUUCAGAGUGCAGAGCUCCCAUGAAGACACAAACCUGUUGCCAAACCCUACUUUUACCCAUGGAGGUUGGUAACAGGGCAGUGCCUCACAGCACUUUGUAUGUAGCAUGGAUAGUGAGUAUCUUAUGCUGUAUCAUGACAGAAGCAG
This is a long non-coding RNA of Pezoporus flaviventris, 1184 nucleotides long. RefSeq lists it as uncharacterized. NCBI's taxonomy places the organism in Eukaryota, Metazoa, Chordata, Aves, Psittaciformes, Psittacidae. The record is from RefSeq and is a predicted model, not a curated record. The transcript has 3 exons.